ACGACUCUCGGCAACGGAUAUCUCGGCUCUCGCAUCGAUGAAGAACGUAGCGAAAUGCGAUACCUGGUGUGAAUUGCAGAAUCCCGCGAACCAUCGAGUCUUUGAACGCAAGUUGCGCCCGAGGCCGCUCGGCCGAGGGCACGCCUGCCUGGGCGUCACGC
This 161-nucleotide ribosomal RNA is filed under the name Hordeum murinum subsp. murinum. Its description in RNAcentral is "5.8S ribosomal RNA". It matches the Rfam family "5.8S ribosomal RNA". From Rfam's summary of the family: 5.8S ribosomal RNA (5.8S rRNA) is a component of the large subunit of the eukaryotic ribosome. It is transcribed by RNA polymerase I as part of the 45S precursor that also contains 18S and 28S rRNA. Lineage: Eukaryota; Viridiplantae; Streptophyta; Magnoliopsida; Poales; Poaceae. RNAcentral also lists the same sequence under 1 other name. The record is from RNAcentral.